AACGAACGCUGGCGGCAUGCCUAACACAUGCAAGUCGAACUAUGCUUUCGGGCAUAGUGGCGCACGGGUGCGUAACGCGUGGGAAUCUGCCCUUGGGUUCGGAAUAACAGUGAGAAAUUGCUGCUAAUACCGGGUGAUGUCUUCGGACCAAAGAUUUAUCGCCCAGGGAUGAGCCCGCGUAGGAUUAGCUAGUUGGUGGGGUAAUGGCCUACCAAGGCGACGAUCCUUAGCUGGUCUGAGAGGAUGAUCAGCCACACUGGGACUGAGACACGGCCCAGACUCCUACGGGAGGCAGCAGUGGGGAAUAUUGGACAAUGGGCGCAAGCCUGAUCCAGCAAUGCCGCGUGAGUGAUGAAGGCCUUAGGGUUGUAAAGCUCUUUUACCCGGGAUGAUAAUGACAGUACCGGGAGAAUAAGCUCCGGCUAACUCCGUG
This 433-nucleotide ribosomal RNA is filed under the name uncultured bacterium. Its description in RNAcentral is "partial 16S ribosomal RNA". It matches the Rfam family "Bacterial small subunit ribosomal RNA", at positions 29 to 507 of the family's 1533-position model. The record is from RNAcentral.